Molecule: long non-coding RNA, 645 nt
Organism: Cydia pomonella (codling moth)
Lineage: Eukaryota; Metazoa; Arthropoda; Insecta; Lepidoptera; Tortricidae
Exons: 2
Source: RefSeq, a predicted model, not a curated record
UGAUGUCACUAAGUCAACUUUAGAUUAUCGACAUCAUUCUAUAAUAAACCUUCUGUCUUUGAAAUAAGGUGCAAUGGUUUAAAGGCGCUGUAACUGGUUACUAAUUUACGGCCGCUAGCCAUGAGUCUUGGUGGUCCAGUGGCGUGCGGGCUAGACUUCUAAGUUGAAGGACCGAGGAUCGAUCCCCGGAACGUGUUAACUUUUUGUAUGAUUAGUUUGUGUAUUUGAAUGAAUUAGAAUAAUAUUUGCGGUCAUGCCGAGAAAAAUUGUAACCGACACUUGAACUUGGAAUAGCGAAUCAUGUAGGCAUGUAUUCUCCACUGGUGCUGUGAUUUAAGAUUGUAAAAAGGAAUUUAUGGAAAUAUUUUGGAAUUUAAAUCUAGACAAUCCUACCAGUGGAUGUGACAUAAAUUUUGUUAUUUUGUGAGUGUCAAAUCAUCUACACCAAAGGGCGUAUCGUCAUGCCCUUUUGGUGUACGGCUGAAUGUGAAAAGUAUAAUCUGACUGAGCUAGCCUUUACCUCGGCAGCGGUUCGGCUGAGUACCUCGUCGGUCACCAGACGGAAACUCACCUGGCGUCCAAAUUUAGAUUAAUUAGUUAGUUAAGUAGGAUUAGUUAUUGUAAUAUAUAUAAAGUUAAUUUUUA